This 302-nucleotide ribosomal RNA is filed under the name uncultured bacterium. RNAcentral's name for it is "partial 16S ribosomal RNA". It matches the Rfam family "Bacterial small subunit ribosomal RNA", at positions 508 to 807 of the family's 1533-position model. The record is from RNAcentral.
GCAGCAGCCGCGGUAAUACGAAGGGUGCAAGCGUUAAUCGGAAUUACUGGGCGUAAAGCGUGCGUAGGUGGUGGUUUAAGUCCGUUGUGAAAGCCCUGGGCUCAACCUGGGAAUUGCAGUGGAUACUGGGUCACUAGAGUGUGGUAGAGGAUAGUGGAAUUUCCGGUGUUGCAGUGAAAUGCGUAGAGAUCGGAAGGAACAUCUGUGGCGAAGGCGACUAUCUGGGCCAACACUGACACUGAGGCACGAAAGCGUGGGGAGCAAACAGGAUUAGAGACCCCUGUAGUCCCUGUCUCUUAUAC